GACGAACGCUGGCGGCGUGCUUAACACACGCAAGUCGAACGGAAAGGCCCUGCUUUUGUGGGUUGCUCGAGUGGCGAACGGGUGAGUAACACGUGAGUAACCUGCCCUUGACUUUGGGAUAACUUCAGGAAAAUGGGGCUAAUACCGGGUAGGAGCUCCUGCUGCAUGGUGGGGGUUGGAAAGUUUCGGCGGUUGGGGAUGGACUGGCGGCUUAUCAGCUUGUUGGUGGGGUAGUGGCUUACCAAGGCUUUGACGGGUAGCCGGCCUGAGAGGGUGACCGGCCACAUUGGGACUGAGAUACGGCCCAGACUCCUACGGGAGGCAGCAGGGGGGAAUAUUGCACAAUGGGCGGAAGCCUGAUGCAGCAACGCCGCGUGCGGGAUGACGGCCUUCGGGUUGUAAACCGCUUUCGCCUGUGACGAAGCGUGAGUGACGGUAAUGGGUAAAGAAGCACCGGCUAACUACGUG
This 468-nucleotide ribosomal RNA is filed under the name uncultured bacterium. RNAcentral describes it as "partial 16S ribosomal RNA". It matches the Rfam family "Bacterial small subunit ribosomal RNA", at positions 28 to 507 of the family's 1533-position model. The record is from RNAcentral.